This 470-nucleotide ribosomal RNA is filed under the name uncultured bacterium. Its description in RNAcentral is "SSU rRNA". It matches the Rfam family "Bacterial small subunit ribosomal RNA", at positions 26 to 523 of the family's 1533-position model. The record is from RNAcentral.
AGCCUGAACGCUGGCGGCGUGGCUAAGACAUGCAAGUCGUACGGGUGUAGCAAUACACCAGUGGCGGACGGGUGAGUAAUGUAUCGCUAACGUACCCCGAAAUCUGGGAUAGCCAUCCGAAAGGAUGGGUAAUACCAGGUAACAUCACCGGAUGGCAUCAUCUGGUGCUCAUAGGGUCACCGUUUCGGGAGCGGGCGAUAUCGUAUCAGCUAGUUGGCGGGGUAACGGCCCACCAAGGCGACGACGCGUAGCCGGACUGAGAGGUUGGCCGGCCACAUUGGGACUGAGACACUGCCCAGACUCCUACGGGGGGCUGCAGUAACGAAUCUUCCGCAAUGCACGCAAGUGUGACGGAGCGACGCCGCGUGUGGGACGAAGCCCUUCGGGGUGUAAACCACUGUCAGGGGUUAGAAAGUUCUGAUCGACCCCAGAGGAAGGCACGGCUAACUCUGUGCCAGCAGCCGCGGUAA